CUAAGCCUUACCCCAACCUUAACCCUUACCUUUUUAAAUGUCAACUUCAAUGGGGUGACGUCAGAGUUGGGCCCCCAGUGAUCUCGUUUAGACUUUUACAUUCUAAUUACUAGUCAUUUGUUGUUUUCAGUCAAUAGAUGUAGCCCACACAUUGUUGACAGUAAAGAAAAUAGGACUGCCUCGUGUCAUAAUGUCCCUCCCCUCUCGAGGUGUAAAGAGUUAACGGAGCAGUGGGUUUGCCCAUUCUCAUGUUUUGAGUGACGCGAUCAUCUAUGAGACAAGAGAGGAUCCGAGGUGGCCGCGUUUAACGCUGUUGACCACUACAGUCAUUGCGCGCGGGGGACGACAGACAUUCGCCUUUUUUCCCCCGACUUGCUGUGUUUUUCCCGCGGACUUUUCUGUGCUAUUUGACAACAAUGCUCUUAGUUUUCUUACGGAGAAUAGUCACUGUGUCGUGUAUGAAGGCGUAAUCUCGGUGUAGUGGAGCAGCUCGGAUUCUACGAGGCCAAAGAGAACUCUUCUUUGGGAAACCAAACAUGCCGCGGCGGAAACAAGAAGCGCCCAAGCGCGCGGCAGACACUCACACGAACACCAUCCGGAGAUCGGAGGAGAGGAAAAUAACCUAAGACUGAGAUAUCUCCCCUGCUGGUUUGUCCCCCGAGCGCUUGGCCCUCUUUACGAGCGGUGUGCCAGGCCCUGCCAAGCGCACGGGGCCCAGUGACAUCUUUUGAUCAGGGCUGUCGCAGAAGAUCAGCGGAGACUGGCAGUGGGCAGAAAGGGAAGGGGCAAAGGGAGGAGGCUGGUGAUGUGUCCUUCGCCAAGACAUUUGUCCCACUUAGCUGUGACAGUGUGUGGGGACCCAAGUGAGGGAGGGUCUGUCACUACAGGGGACCGUCACUCUCUGAAGACUGGAGGGGGGGUGCUGUGGGAGGGUCGCUGUCCCCUGUGAUCGGUACCCAGAGAACGUACACACCUGUCUAAGGUGAGCCGAGGGCGCACACAUGCAAAGUGACAGGUUGCUUAUGUGUUGCCAUAGUCUCUUACUCAACCUCGCACUCUUAUGUCUGUUUCUCUCUGAGAAAAUGUCUCUGAUGUCCUGUGUAUGUGUGUUUUGCCUAACACCAAGCACCUGUUAGCCUGCUCCAAAAGGCACUUCUAGUCUGUCUGUGAUACUCCUCACCCUUGGUAAUCUCAUGUGCCUCACUUCCAUUUAGUUGACUUUGAAAGGUGUCGAUCUAACAUUUGAAAUAGUCUUAUCAUCAUAAAUCAUAUUUCCCUUUAUUAGCAAUGAGUGGAAAUCCUGUCUGUGUGUGUGUGUCCCUGUCUGUGUGUGUGUGUCCCUGUCUGUGUGUGUGUGUCCCUGUCUGUGUGUGUGUGUCCCUGUCUGUGUCUGUGUGUGUGUGUCCCUGUCUGUGUCCCUGUCUGUGUGUGUGU
Molecule: long non-coding RNA, 1434 nt
Organism: Oncorhynchus tshawytscha (Chinook salmon)
Lineage: Eukaryota; Metazoa; Chordata; Actinopteri; Salmoniformes; Salmonidae
Source: Ensembl